This 217-nucleotide ribosomal RNA is filed under the name uncultured bacterium. RNAcentral's name for it is "partial 16S ribosomal RNA". It matches the Rfam family "Bacterial small subunit ribosomal RNA", at positions 30 to 237 of the family's 1533-position model. The record is from RNAcentral.
AUUGAACGCUGGCGGCAUGCCUUACACAUGCAAGUCGAACGGCAGCAUGACGUGUAGCAAUACACGUUGAUGGCGAGUGGCGAACGGGUGAGUAAUAUAUCGGAACGUGCCCUGUAGCGGGGGAGUAGCCCGGCGAAAGACCGGAUUAAUACCGCAUACGCUCUACGGAGGAAGACGGGGGUCGGCAAGACCUCGCACUAUAGGAGCGGCCGAUAUC